Molecule: long non-coding RNA, 1220 nt
Filed under: Homo sapiens (human)
Lineage: Eukaryota; Metazoa; Chordata; Mammalia; Primates; Hominidae
Description: HSALNT0299622
Source: RNAcentral
CGGCAGCGGCGGGCGGCCCGCGUGGGCUACUGCUGGGGGCUGCGUUCGGGCGAGGAGGGGAGAUUCUGUCUCAGAGGCCUCGGGCUGCACGUUCUUCCGGGCCGCGCAUUUGCAGCCCACAGCAGGCCCCAGCCGGCCCCUCUGGAGUUGGGCCACUGCUUCUGCAGGCCCAGCAGGCCCCUGGGGGCGGCCGGAGGCCACUAACUGGCUUCUCCAGCUCAGCAUUCUUCUCUCAUUUGCUGGGUACCCCACUCUCUUCUCUACCCCUUUGAACCAUCUUUACCCUCAUUCCUCAGGGAACGUUUAACGAGUUGAAUGUUUACCAUGUAGUCACUCUAUAUGGAAAUCAUAAUUCAAUUUUGUAAACAUCAGACUUUGACAAAACAAAUGAUGAUGUUCUUAAGGAAAGCAGAGAGACACAGUGUGAAAUCGCUGCUCUCAGAUCAGCACACGGGAGAGGCCAGCAGUCAGGAGGGGGCUCACCGAGUUUGUCUGCACUCGCUCCCUCCGCAGCCGCCCUCUCCAGCUGGAAGAAGUCGUAAUCGAACCUGCUCAGGUCCUCACUGCCCCACUCCGAAGGAAACCCCACGUACAGGUGAGGUCAGAGGAGUGAAGUGACUUGCCCAAGACCACACAGUGAGUCAGGAGCAGGCCUGUCCCUCCAGCAGUGGUGCCAUGUUGUCCCCAAGCCAUGGUGGCAGAGGAGCUGGUGUGAACGCCCCAUCCUGCCACGUCUGUGAUGUGGGCACCUCACAUGACUGUCCCCUCCCAGCUCUUGGGGGGGACCUAGGACAUUCUGUGAGCCUGCAGGAAAGUUUACCAAAUGCUGCAGCUUUGUCCUGGUGGUGAUGGGCACCCCGUUAACGGCAACCUUGCAUUUGCUAUGUGGAGUGACCGUCACUUUACCGUCGGCAUUUGUGAAGGAAGCGUGUUUAUCUGAAAUUCUAAGAAGAUGAGAGUCAAAGACACCCAGCAAACGGCGGUUUCCGUGAGCAGGGUUGGAGCCCAGGAAGCAAACCAGCACUGCACCCUAGAUUUCAGCCAGAGGACGAAAGCCCUGCCCUCAGCUUUCUCAGACCAGCCCUGGAGUAGGUGGCCCGGGGAGACCUGGGCAGUGUCCCUGCUUGUCCUGCAGACUGUGUGGCUCUGCAGACCUCUAGAUGGAGGAGGCACAAUUCUCUAAUGCUGGACGAGGACACUGAUCAUGGAAACUCACCCCA